Molecule: long non-coding RNA, 446 nt
Organism: Carcharodon carcharias (great white shark)
Lineage: Eukaryota; Metazoa; Chordata; Chondrichthyes; Lamniformes; Lamnidae
Exons: 3
Source: RefSeq, a predicted model, not a curated record
GGGCCUGUGAGGCCUCUGUGCUGCUUGCUGCUUGCUGGCUGGCUGGCUGCUUUUUUUUUUUUGAUUGCAAUGCUAUUUCCCCACCUCUGUGUGCCUGCCUGUGCAGUGCCUGGGCUGGGGGAAGGAGACAGACCCGUCCCUGGCUCUUCUCACGUGUCCAUUUUGGGAUCUCACAUGACCCUGUUGUUUGGCCCCGUGAUCAAAUCUCCUUCGAAAUUCGAAAUUUUGCAGCUUUCUUUGACCACAUGGAUAUGUUAGACCAAGCCCUGGACAGCAGCCACGAGAAAGGACAAGAGACAGACGACAGUGUACAGCUCCAGGAAGGGGACGGCGGGAACGCGGACGAGCAGACAGCGGUGGCCAUCGCGAGCGUGCAGCAAGCGGCUUUCACUGACCACAACAUCCAGUACCAGUUUCGCUCAGAGAACAAUGGCGGACAGGUAACC